UGAGGAAUAUUGGUCAAUGGGCGAGAGCCUGAACCAGCCAAGUCGCGUGAAGGAUUACGGCCCUAUGGGUCUUAAACUUCUUUUGUAUAGGGGUAAAGUCAUAUACGUGUAUAUGAUUGCAAGUACUAUACGAAUAAGGAUCGGCUAACUCCGUGCCAGCAGCCGCGGUAAUACGGAGGAUCCGAGCGUUAUCCGGAUUUAUUGGGUUUAAAGGGUGCGUAGGCGGGAGUUCAAGUCAGUGGUGAAAUGGUGUGGCUCAACCAUAGCAUUGCCGUUGAAACUGAAUUUCUUGAGUGCAGUAGAGGUAUGCGGAAUGUGUUGUGUAGCGGUGAAAUGCAUAGAUAUGACACAGAACACCGAUUGCGAAGGCAGCAUACUGGACUGUAACUGACGCUGAAGCACGAAAGCGUGGGGAUCGAACAGG
RNAcentral lists this ribosomal RNA (424 nucleotides) under uncultured bacterium. Its description in RNAcentral is "bacterial SSU rRNA". It matches the Rfam family "Bacterial small subunit ribosomal RNA", at positions 355 to 776 of the family's 1533-position model. The record is from RNAcentral. RNAcentral also lists the same sequence under 1 other name.